This 468-nucleotide ribosomal RNA is filed under the name uncultured bacterium. RNAcentral's name for it is "partial 16S ribosomal RNA". It matches the Rfam family "Bacterial small subunit ribosomal RNA", at positions 28 to 506 of the family's 1533-position model. The record is from RNAcentral.
GACGAACGCUGGCGGCGUGCUUAACACAUGCAAGUCGAACGGAUAGGCCCUGCUUGCAGGGUGCUCGAGUGGCGAACGGGUGAGUAACACGUGGGUGAUCUGCCCCUUACUUUGGGAUAAGCCUGGGAAACUGGGUCUAAUACUGGAUAGGACCAUGCUGUAGGUGGUGUGGUGGAAAGAUUAGUUUCGGUAAGGGAUGAGCUCGCGGCCUAUCAGCUUGUUGGUGGGGUAAUGGCCUACCAAGGCGUCGACGGGUAGCCGGCCUGAGAGGGUGGACGGCCACAGUGGGACUGAGAUACGGCCCAGACUCCUACGGGAGGCAGCAGUGGGGAAUAUUGCACAAUGGGCGCAAGCCUGAUGCAGCGACGCCGCGUGGGGGAUGACGGCCUUCGGGUUGUAAACUCCUUUCAGCCAUGACGAAGCCCUUGUGGUGACGGUAGUGGUAGAAGAAGCACCGGCUAACUACGU